UACGAACUGUGCGAACGUUAUUCGGAAUCACUGGGCUUAAAGGGUGCGUAGGCGGCUUCUUAAGUAGGGUGUGAAAUGUCCCGGCUCAACCGGGGAAUGGCGCUCUAAACUGGGUGGCUUGAGUGAGAUAGAGGUGUGCGGAACUUCCGGUGGAGCGGUGAAAUGUGUUGAUAUCGGAGGGAACACCAUUGGCGAAAGCGGCACACUGGGUCUCAACUGACGCUGAGGCACGAAAGCCAGGGGAGCAAACGGG
This 253-nucleotide ribosomal RNA is filed under the name uncultured Planctomyces sp. Its description in RNAcentral is "partial 16S ribosomal RNA". It matches the Rfam family "Bacterial small subunit ribosomal RNA", at positions 524 to 776 of the family's 1533-position model. The record is from RNAcentral. Lineage: Bacteria; Pseudomonadati; Planctomycetota; Planctomycetia; Planctomycetales; Planctomycetaceae.